AGUGAUUAGAGUUUGAUCCUGGCUCAGAUUGAACGCUGGCGGCAUGCCUUACACAUGCAAGUCGAACGGCAGCACGGGAGUAAUCCUGGUGGCGAGUGGCGAACGGGUGAGUAAUAUAUCGGAACGUGCCCAGUCGUGGGGGAUAACGCAGCGAAAGCUGUGCUAAUACCGCAUACGAUCUCUGGAUGAAAGCGGGGGACUCGCAAGGGCCUCGCGCGAUUGGAGCGGCCGAUAUCAGAUUAGCUAGUUGGUGGGGUAAAAGCCCACCAAGGCGACGAUCUGUAGCUGGUCUGAGAGGACGACCAGCCACACUGGAACUGAGACACGGUCCAGACUCCUACGGGAGGCAGCAGUGGGGAAUUUUGGACAAUGGGCGAAAGCCUGAUCCAGCAAUGCCGCGUGCAGGAUGAAGGCCUUCGGGUUGUAAACUGCUUUUGUACGGAACGAAACGGUCGCCUCUAAUACGGGUGGCUAAUGACGGUACCGUAAGAAUAAGCACCGGCUAACUACGUGCCAGCAGCCGCGGUAAUACGUAGGGUGCGAGCGUUAAUCGGAAUUACUGGGCGUAAAGCGUGCGCAGGCGGUUAUAUAAGACAGAUGUGAAAUCCCCGGGCUCAACCUGGGACCUGCAUAUGUGACUGUAUAGCUAGAGUACGGUAGAGGGGGAUGGAAUUCCGCGUGUAGCAGUGAAAUGCGUAGAUAUGCGGAGGAACACCGAUGGCGAAGGCAAUCCCCUGGACCUGUACUGACGCUCAUGCACGAAAGCGUGGGGAGCAAACAGGAUUAGAUACCCUGGUAGAAUCG
RNAcentral lists this ribosomal RNA (804 nucleotides) under uncultured Rhodoferax sp. Its description in RNAcentral is "bacterial SSU rRNA". It matches the Rfam family "Bacterial small subunit ribosomal RNA", at positions 1 to 797 of the family's 1533-position model. The record is from RNAcentral. Lineage: Bacteria; Pseudomonadati; Pseudomonadota; Betaproteobacteria; Burkholderiales; Comamonadaceae.